AACGAACGCUGGCGGCAUGCCUAACACAUGCAAGUCGAACGAGACCUUCGGGUGUAGGGGCGCACGGGUGCGUAACGCGUGGGAACCUGACCUCAGGGUCGGAAUAACUCCCCGAAAGGGGUGCUAAUACGGGAUAAUGUCUACGGACCAAAGAUUUAUCGCCUUUGGAUGGGCCCGCGUUGGAUUAGCUAGUUGGUAGGGUAAAAGCCUCCCAAGGCGACGAUCCAUAGCUGGUCUGAGAGGAUGAUCAGCCACACUGGGACUGAGACACGGCCCAGACUCCUACGGGAGGCAGCAGUGGGGAAUAUUGGACAAUGGGCGAAAGCCUGAUCCAGCACUGCCGCGUGAGUGAUGAAGGCCUUAGGGUUGUAAAGCUCUUUUACCCGGGAUGAUAAUGACAGUACCGGGAGAAUAAGCUCCGGCUAACUCCGUG
Molecule: ribosomal RNA, 433 nt
Filed under: uncultured bacterium
Lineage: Bacteria
Description: partial 16S ribosomal RNA
Rfam family: Bacterial small subunit ribosomal RNA
Source: RNAcentral